RNAcentral lists this ribosomal RNA (961 nucleotides) under Janthinobacterium sp. RNAcentral's name for it is "bacterial SSU rRNA". It matches the Rfam family "Bacterial small subunit ribosomal RNA", at positions 67 to 1025 of the family's 1533-position model. Lineage: Bacteria; Pseudomonadati; Pseudomonadota; Betaproteobacteria; Burkholderiales; Oxalobacteraceae. The record is from RNAcentral.
CGGCAGCACGGAGCUUGCUCUGGUGGCGAGUGGCGAACGGGUGAGUAAUAUAUCGGAACGUACCCUAGAGUGGGGGAUAACGUAGCGAAAGUUACGCUAAUACCGCAUACGAUCUAAGGAUGAAAGUGGGGGAUCGCAAGACCUCAUGCUCGUGGAGCGGCCGAUAUCUGAUUAGCUAGUUGGUAGGGUAAAAGCCUACCAAGGCAUCGAUCAGUAGCUGGUCUGAGAGGACGACCAGCCACACUGGAACUGAGACACGGUCCAGACUCCUACGGGAGGCAGCAGUGGGGAAUUUUGGACAAUGGGCGAAAGCCUGAUCCAGCAAUGCCGCGUGAGUGAAGAAGGCCUUCGGGUUGUAAAGCUCUUUUGUCAGGGAAGAAACGGUGAGAGCUAAUAUCUCUUGCUAAUGACGGUACCUGAAGAAUAAGCACCGGCUAACUACGUGCCAGCAGCCGCGGUAAUACGUAGGGUGCAAGCGUUAAUCGGAAUUACUGGGCGUAAAGCGUGCGCAGGCGGUUUUGUAAGUCUGAUGUGAAAUCCCCGGGCUCAACCUGGGAAUUGCAUUGGAGACUGCAAGGCUAGAAUCUGGCAGAGGGGGGUAGAAUUCCACGUGUAGCAGUGAAAUGCGUAGAUAUGUGGAGGAACACCGAUGGCGAAGGCAGCCCCCUGGGUCAAGAUUGACGCUCAUGCACGAAAGCGUGGGGAGCAAACAGGAUUAGAUACCCUGGUAGUCCACGCCCUAAACGAUGUCUACUAGUUGUCGGGUCUUAAUUGACUUGGUAACGCACUAACGCGUGAAGUAGACCGCCUGGGGAGUACGGUCGCAAGAUUAAAACUCAAAGGAAUUGACGGGGACCCGCACAAGCGGUGGAUGAUGUGGAUUAAUUCGAUGCAACGCGAAAAACCUUACCUACCCUUGACAUGGCUGGAAUCCUUGAGAGAUCAGGGAGUGCUCGAAAGA